UACGUAGGUGGCAAGCGUUGUCCGGAUUUAUUGGGCGUAAAGCGAGCGCAGGCGGUUUCCUAAGUCUGAUGUGAAAGCCCCCGGCUCAACCGGGGAGGGUCAUUGGAAACUGGGAAACUUGAGUGCAGAAGAGGAGAGUGGAAUUCCAUGUGUAGCGGUGAAAUGCGUAGAUAUAUGGAGGAACACCAGUGGCGAAGGCGGCUCUCUGGUCUGUAACUGACGCUGAGGCUCGAAAGCGUGGGGAGCAAACAGGAUUAGAUACCCUGGUAGUCCACGCCGUAAACGAUGAGUGCUAAGUGUUGGAGGGUUUCCGCCCUUCAGUGCUGCAGCUAACGCAUUAAGCACUCCGCCUGGGGUGUACGACCGCAAAGUUGAA
This 376-nucleotide ribosomal RNA is filed under the name uncultured bacterium. RNAcentral describes it as "bacterial SSU rRNA". It matches the Rfam family "Bacterial small subunit ribosomal RNA", at positions 524 to 898 of the family's 1533-position model. The record is from RNAcentral.